Non-coding RNA from Python bivittatus (Burmese python), 4499 nucleotides. NCBI's taxonomy places the organism in Eukaryota, Metazoa, Chordata, Lepidosauria, Squamata, Pythonidae. The record is from RefSeq and is a predicted model, not a curated record.
GAUUGUGCUAAGCCAUUUGAACUAAAAACAAUCAGCACAACUUUCUGAAUUGGUUCUACCUUUAAGCACACUUAAACUUUAAACUUUGCCUCAAGUUGCUGGACAGGCAUUGGUGAUCAGGUGUUGGAGGACAAAACUCCAACCAUCUGGAGAGCCCUGACUCUCUUGGUCUUUCAGAAGGCUGUGAAGACCUGGCUUUUCCCACAGGCAUUGGGUCAGGAUGAUAGAUAAGCCCAACAUAGCCUCCCUGGCUGUUUCUGCUUCCUGAUCUGAAAAAACUCCACGGGUGGCAUGAUAAAUCCUACAAAAAUCCCGUGGGCUUUAACUGAAGUGAGUGAUGUCACAAAGACAGCAGAUCACGAAGAGAGUGUUGUACAAUAAUAGACAGGAAACUCUCACACACCUCUUGGACGUCUUGUAAAUAAGAUGUUGGAUCUGAAUCAUUGACGGGAACUUACGUUUUCUUGCCCAUCCAAAUGAGUGAGAAUGUGUUAUAUAAGAGCACAGUAGUGGGCCGUAUCCUUGUUUCCAACUCUUCUUAUUUUGGUUUAUUUUGACAAGCUGCGGACUUUGGUACUUUUCAAACAUCAUCAGAGAUGGAGUUUAAGUAUUUAUUAUUUGAUCAUUUCCUAAAUAGAAAAAUAUGUGAAGGAGACUUACCUUUAACAGGGAUAUGUAUGUAUGUGGAGAAGAUGACAAUGUUUUUGUUCUUUAUGACUUGCAUGUGCCCUUUUCUUGCACCUGCAAAAAUCUAGAGUGCAAUCCAAAUUUAACCAUUUUAAGCUGCUGAUUACAGUGGGAGCACUUAACUUUGGCUAGAUUAUGAUCCCUUUUUUGCAUGCAUAAUAUUCUCUCUUCCAAAAUACUUAGCUGUGUAAACCUAAAGCCAUCUAAUCCUGUUUUUUUGUAGUAUUUUCUCAGGAUGUAUUUCAAGCCUUUCCACUCACUAGUGUAAAAUUAUGAAGCCUGGGUAGUAACGGAUCCCUGGUUUUGCAAAUGUUUUGUAGUUCCCUGUGUCCUUCUUUUUAUAGAUAUAAAAUAUUUAUAUUAACUCACAUGUACAGCCAUUGUAACAGACAGUACUUCUAAAGCCUACUUGUAUGAUUUCUUCUCUCAGUACAGUAUGAAGCUGUAUCCGUAUUCCAGGAGAUAAUAUAGAUACCUUUUUGCUUCCCUAACCCUGUUUUUCCCCCCAAAGAAAAUUUCCUUAAUGGUACCUCCUGUCCUACACAUUUCCUCCCCCCCUUCUUUUCUCAUGGGUAAAACUUGCUGUUUAUUUUGAUUUGUCACAAAUACUAGGUGUUGUUUGAAAAGUGUUAAACUUAGCAGGCCCAUACAGAUAAUGUGAGACGGGUCACUGGCUGUGAUAAAGAGUAAGAUAUGGUGGGAAUUAACCUGAAACGUUUACGGAGCUCUCCUGAUUCUCCUCAUCUGCAGCCUAUCAGUUAAGAACACUGUAAAUAUAUGGUCCAGUUUAGUAUUAAGAUGGCGCUUUAAAAAUAAACCCAUAUUCAGACGCCAAACAUUUUUUGAAAUGUUUUGUACUGAAGCCCAAACCAGACUACCUAUGAUAUGAAGAAUUUAUAUUAUUGUACAAAUAAUUGCCCUGAUUUACUUGGGUGCAUUAGAAGUCGAUCUGACCGUAUAAGUACAACAGAAAGAUACCUAGCGUGGCAUGGUUUUUUUCAUGAUUUUCAUGGGAUGACCUGCAAUAAACGUGGGAAUCUGCUGCAUGGAAAACACAUUCUGUGCAUGCAGAAGAUGACGUUCAUGGCAUCUCCAGGUAAGGCUGGGAAAGACUUCCAGCUGUAGCCCUGGAAGGCAGCUGCCACUUGGAACAAGUGUUAUUGAGCUGGAUCAGGAAUGAGCAACCUGACCUCCCCAAUUUUCCUUUGGGGAGCUCUGAUACACCUCUGAUUAGGGCUUCCAGGCAAUCAGGAUCAGAGGUAGGGCUACCAGAUUUGGGCUGCAAAAAUCCAGAUAACCUCUAGAUGGAAGCUAAAUUGCUUUGCUGUCAUCCAGUGGUUUUCUGGAGGGUUGCAGCCCAGAUCUACCUCUAAUCCUGAUUGCUGAAAACAAGUAACACAAUUUACUGCUGUUUUCUGCUGGUGAAUACAUGAGAAUUGCAGUGUAAGCUCUGAAGUAGGCAUAUCCAAAAAAACAAUCCCAAAUUCCCCCUCAUUCAGCCCAAAUUGCAUAUAUGAUGCAGCUCACUUUAUAGUCCUUAUCUUCGGCAAAUGUUAGAUGUACUUCUUGGCUGCCUGAAGUAGAUGGACCAAGGGUUUCUUUAUUUCUGUUUGCCAGAAUCCUCUGUUACCUUACAGAUUAAUUUGAGGUUGCCAUUGGCCUUUCUGCCUGUCAUCUUGGUCUGCCACUGAAAUGUUUUAGGCUAAGCCUGUUCAGUCAUGUGAGUUUUGAUACUCCCUCUUCCUCUACAGCUGCUUUUCUUACAAUGCGGCAAGCAUGUAUCUCGAAAUCUGGCUGAAAGGAAAGCACAUGGAAGGGAAGGGAUGACUAGAAGAAUAGGGAACAGCAUUAACAACCCUCUUCAACUUGCAAGUCUCUGCAAAUGUUAUAGAAUAUUGACAUCCACCAACCAGAUCCAUGUGUAAAUAAUGGUAGUGGGCAGAGCCAGAAAUGGGGGAAAGGUGGUUCAGGAGACUGAAUCUUUUAUUUUUGGGGGGUUGAGUGUCCCUGCUCUACCGAAAGAUGCAUUCCUAGAUAAUCACUGCCCCUUUUCCAAGCCAGCAAGUUAUUUAAGCCAAAUAACAGUUCCUAAAUUCAGAGGAAUCCUAACUUUGUCAAGAUUUAAUGGCUUUCUGACAACUAUUCUUGAGGGGAAACUGGGAAUAUCCCAUUUGAACAAGGACUCUGAUGAAGAAGUUAUGGAAACAUUAAACCAUGCUUUGUCAUAUUGCCCUUAUUACAAAAAUGCCCAGCUAAUAAUUUCCCAUCUAGCCAGAUUUCCAGGCCAUCCAAUUUCAUUCUGGUUACAGUUGUUACUGUCCAACCAAUGUGAUUUUAUUUCCCUGAAUAAAGUUUUGUUAAGUUUUGUUUCAUUUUUUGUAAAAUACAUUGUACUUUGACCAUAUCAGUUUUAUAAAUAUUCAGUUUUAUUCCAAUUUUCAUUUGCUGUCUCAGAAUUUCUCUUCUCUCUUCUUUCUUUAAUUGAUCAAUACCUGUAAUAAAGUUGAUUUAUUGACCGAAUGACUGAGUGGAGUGUCAAGGAAUCAGGAGAUGGGGAUUGAUGAAGUUCCUGCUUAUGGAACUCAUAAUCUCCCAAGCUCCAGGGACUCCUUUGGGAAGAAAAUUGGGUUGGUAGCUCAGCAGCCAUGGUGGGAAUUCAAGAGCAGAAUCCUGCAUUAAAGCUCCAUGUGGAAAUCCUCUGUAUAAAGCCAGGAUGUCAAAAAAAAGUCCUUAGCUUGCUUACAUCUAUGAUCCAGCUUUCAACUUGCAAGGAAUCUGCUAGUAGAAAGUUAGGACCUGCUGCCAUAAGAUGGUGCAAUCUUUAUCAUAUACUCCUGCUGAAUAUUUUGAACUGGCUUGGGUAAGGUUGUUUCUUUUAAAUCUACGUCCUUGUAAAAAUGUCGUUUAAUCAUGUGCCUUUUCUAUUCCUUUUAUUCUAGACAAGAUAUGUGAUGCAUAUUUAAGAGCAUCCCUAAUUCAAAUUCCAGCUCAGUUCAGACAAGCUAAUUUAUCUCAGCUCCAGACAUCUUGCUCAGUUGCUAAUGCCAAGUUGACAUAAAAUAAGCCCACUCAGAUCAGCAGUGCCAACUGCCAGUCCAGGUCAGGGUAAGCCCCUGAAGUUCCUUCAUGCCAUUAAAAUGCAAACAAGGUGUGGCUUAAAAAUGCUCUCAAUUAUCUUUCUGGAAUAGUAAGUCCAAAGGCUGAAUUUUUACUAAGCCAUUAUGUGCCCAGUCCAUGACCUCAUAUGAUCUGUGAAGCCCUUAUCUUGCCAAGUAAUUCCAACCUUAAUAAAGAUAGUGUGGUCUGUUUUAAUUUCCAGGCUAGUGAGGUAAGAACUUAGCAGUCCUCAAGAUUAGAGAUGUUUGCAACUGGUGGUCCUAAUCCUGUCCAUACUUUCUUGGGAGUAAGACCUAUGGACACAAGAGAAUGUCCUUCUGAAUAAAAAUAUUAAGGAUUACCUUAUUAAACAACAUAGGUGAAAUGCUUAAAGGAAGCACUCUACGCGUGCCAAGCUGAAUCAUCCAUCUUUAGUGCAAAGCACUGUGAGCAACCCUAAGCAUUUGGACAGGUUGGGCUAGACUCUGAAGUCAAGAAAGAACAGAAUAAUGCAAUCUGUUUACCGCUAUGUCUCCAGUCCAGCUAUUACAGUAGUUGCAGAGCAGACUUUUUUGUUCUUUUAAGGCAAAUUUGUUCUCUUUCAUUUGCAUAAGAAUGUAUGUCAAGUUUAUAUUUUGCUCAGAUAAACAUUCCAUGUCAUCCAACCUUGUCAGCCAAUCAGCACGUUGCCAAACAGCAAUUUGUAUGAGAAAAAG